GGUUAAGCGACUAAGCGUACACGGUGGAUGCCUAGGCAAUCAGAGGCGAUGAAGGACGUGCUAAUCUGCGAUAAGCGUCGGUAAGGUGAUAUGAACCGUUACA
RNAcentral lists this ribosomal RNA (103 nucleotides) under Providencia huaxiensis. Its description in RNAcentral is "partial 23S ribosomal RNA". It matches the Rfam family "Bacterial large subunit ribosomal RNA", at positions 1 to 103 of the family's 2925-position model. The record is from RNAcentral. Lineage: Bacteria; Pseudomonadati; Pseudomonadota; Gammaproteobacteria; Enterobacterales; Morganellaceae.